Pelobates cultripes (western spadefoot toad) is the source of this 204-nucleotide non-coding RNA. The record is from the annotation of a GenBank genome assembly. NCBI's taxonomy places the organism in Eukaryota, Metazoa, Chordata, Amphibia, Anura, Pelobatidae.
CCCGGCUCUGUCUGUCAGUAUACGGCAUCCCUCACUGCACCCAGCUCUGCCUGUCAGUAUACGGCGUCCCUCGCUGCUCCCGGCUCUGUCUGUCAGUAUACGGCAUCCCUCGCUGCUCCCGGCUCUGUCUGUCAGUAUACGGCAUCCCUCGCUGCUCCCGGCUCUGUCUGUCAGUAUACGGCAUCCCUCGCUGUUCCCGGCUCU